RNAcentral lists this ribosomal RNA (253 nucleotides) under uncultured bacterium. RNAcentral's name for it is "partial 16S ribosomal RNA". It matches the Rfam family "Bacterial small subunit ribosomal RNA", at positions 524 to 776 of the family's 1533-position model. The record is from RNAcentral.
UACGUAGGGGGCAAGCGUUGUCCGGAAUCAUUGGGCGUAAAGAGCGCGUAGGCGGUCCGAUAAGUCGGUUGUGAAAACUGGGGGCUCAACCCUCAGAGGCCGACCGAUACUGUCGGGCUAGAGUCCGGAAGAGGCGAGUGGAAUUCCUGGUGUAGCGGUGAAAUGCGCAGAUAUCAGGAGGAACACCAAUGGCGAAGGCAGCUCGCUGGGACGGUACUGACGCUGAGACGCGAAAGCGUGGGGAGCGAACAGG